Molecule: non-coding RNA, 99 nt
Organism: Termitomyces sp. 'cryptogamus'
Lineage: Eukaryota; Fungi; Basidiomycota; Agaricomycetes; Agaricales; Lyophyllaceae
Source: the annotation of a GenBank genome assembly
UCCGGUAUGGUGUAACGGCUAACAUUGCCGCCUUUCAUAUCUUCAGGAUUUGUUGUAUAUCCCAUCGCGGCAGCUCGGGGUCGAUUCCCCGUACCGGAA